AUGCCUCUGCCGCCGUCCAGAUCCAUGGUCCUCUCCCCGAUCUCCUUCCGCCUCCCCACCCCGAUGGACCCGUACGUCGCCGGCGGCACCACCCGACAUUCCGGCCGCCCCGAUUGGGUCUUACUCCACAAGUCGGCGCGUAUCUCGGGACACCGGAACUCGACCAUCUCCGGCUGCCACACGAUGGAGGGCCACCCCAUCGAGGUUUCCUUCUGGCUCGUCGACCCGCCGGGAGUCUCCUACUUCUCCGUCCACUGCCCCGGCCUCAACAAGGACUUCCACGACGAGCCCUACAUCAUCUGCGCCGAGGCCGCCCUUGUCCUCUUCAGCGUGGCCUUUGUCCCCGUCCCUGGCCGGAGAUCCAUCCAGUACUUCGUCUACAGAGCCGGCCCGGGGGCGCCGGCGCUGGAGCUGAUCCCGGACCCGGACAAGAUCAGAAGAGGCGAUCGAUUUGGCCUCUUGCCCUGCGGUGAUUCCGAGCACUAUGCCUUGGUCUUCCUCAAUAGAAAAUUUGCCUACAAUAAGCCUUGCCGUUUCGACCUCCACAUCUUCUCGUCGGCGACGCAGGCGUGGAGCAGCAAGGUGCCCUCGUCUUGCUUAUCGGAAGAUGAUCAGGCAUUGCUGCUCAACCAUGGCACCCGCAAGUCGGUCAUGGUCGGAGAUGGCUCGCUGGGCUGGGUCGAUCUCUUCAGCGGCAUCCUCCUCCUGUGCGAUGUGUUUGGUGAGUGUCCUGUGGUCAGGUACAUCACCUUGCCCGCUUCAAGGACUCGCCAGACGGACGAGCGCGGCCUCCCUUACUUUGCCUCGGAGUACUGCUGCAACGUGUCCUGCCGCGACGACGGUGCGAUCAAGUUUGUCGAGAUAGAGUUCGAUGAUCCGGAUCGCAGGAACAGAGGCAACCAAGGCUGGAGAGCCAUCAUAUGGGACAGGACGGUGACUUCGGAUGGUUGGAGCCAGCGCUUCAGAGUUGAUGCUGCUAACAUUUCAGUAGACCCAAGUUAUUCUGAUUUACUGCCUGAGCUGUGGAAUGACAAGACUGGAGAACCAGAACUGAAGAGACUGAUUUUCUAUACCCCCACGCUGAGCAAGCACGACGACGAUCUUCUGUACAUGAUGUCUAAGGUGAACAAGGAAGACGACAAGGCCUGGGUCAUCACCGUCGACAUGAAACGCGAGGCCGUGGAGGCAAUCGCCCCGUAUUCUACCAAAGGGCACCAACUCACUUCAUGGCACUCUCCAUGCACCUUUCCCAAGUACAUCGACCCGACGACCUCAGGGGAUCACGUGGCCAUGCACUCCAAGAGGAUUAGUGCGGCGGACUGUGUUCUGCAGGUGCUGUUGAGUCGAGACUGGUUCAGAGAAAUAGAUGAGCGCUUGGAAAUUGAGAUGCCAACUUACCAUGAGUGUGUAUCACUACUUGACUGUUGCCCAGCAUCAUCUGUGCUUUUAGAUAUCCAAGAAGUGGUAAAAUAUGCUUCCUCUACUGAUCAAGGCAAAGCCGCUCCACAAGCUGUGGAAUCUUGCUCACGUGCCUUGGAAGAAUUCGAGGCGCUAGUACGUGGGUCAGUGCAUGAUCCAUCGUCGUCGUCCACCGAAGGCAUGAGGAGCAAAAUCAGUGUCGCUCUUCGAGCCUUAGACAACAUCUUGGACAUCGUGCCGCCGACCUUGAGAGCGCUUGCGGAUGCCUGCCACCAAAAAGGAGGGAAGACAAUAUUUGAUCUUGUUGAGCAAGCAAGUGAUGAUACAGAGGAGUGCAAACUGGAGGGCUCUCCUGAUGCUGACAACCUUUCCCACGGCGAGAACAAGACGAUGGUCUAUGCGAUGGGCAGAUCUUGCGAGGUGCAGCAGGGGCGACCCCGUCAGCGAAGGAGGCAGAACCAGGCACGGGGCCAGGAAGAACGAGCGGUGGUUCCAAAUCGCCGCCAACUGGAGCAGUAUGUGAUGAUGAUUUUCUUGUGCCUGCUCUUCUUUGCCUACAUAUGGGCGCCGAUCGAUAUGAGGUUGUUAGGCCAUUGCCCUUUAGCAUCCUAUUAG
Molecule: ribosomal RNA, 2034 nt
Filed under: Triticum aestivum (bread wheat)
Lineage: Eukaryota; Viridiplantae; Streptophyta; Magnoliopsida; Poales; Poaceae
Description: partial small subunit ribosomal RNA
Source: RNAcentral